UUAGAACAAAGGUUCCUAGAAAUUGCACA
This 29-nucleotide non-coding RNA is filed under the name Mus musculus (house mouse). Lineage: Eukaryota; Metazoa; Chordata; Mammalia; Rodentia; Muridae. The record is from RNAcentral.